GAUGAACGCUGACCGAACGCUUAACACAUGCAAGUCAACUUGAAUUUGGGUUUUUAACUUAGAUUUGGGUGGCGGACGGGUGAGUAACACGUAAAGAACUUGCCUCACAGCUCCGGACAACUUUUAGAAAUGAAUGCUAAUACCUGAUAUUAUGAUUUUAAAGCAUCUCACAGUUAUUAAAGCUAUAACCACUGUGAGAGAGCUUUGCGUCCCAUUACCUAGUUGGAGAGGUAACAGCUCACCACAGCGAUGAUGGGUAGCCGGCCUGAGAGGGUGAACGGCCACCAUGGGACUGAGACACCGCCCUUACUCCCACCGGAGGCAGCAGUGGGGAAUAUUGGACAAUGGACCGAGAGUCUGAUCCAACAAUUCUAUGUGACCCAUGAACUUUUUCCCAAUGUUCCCUGCUGUCGCUUGGGAAGAAACAAAUGACCGUGUCUCAGAAGAAGUAACGGCGUAAAUACGUGCCAGGCAGCCGCGGUAAUACGUAUGUCACUAACGUUAUCCGGAUUUAUUGGGCGUAAAGCACGUCUAGGUGGUUAUGUAAGUCUGAUGUGAUAAUGCAUGGCUCAACUCUGUAUUGCGUUGGAAACUGUAUAACUAUUCUACUGGAGAGGUAAUCCGAACUACUAAUGUAGAGUUUUAUUCGUAGAUCUUUCUACCACUGCCCAUAGGGAAGCCAGCUUACUGGAUAGAUACUGACGCGCAAGCGCGAGAGCGUGGGUAGCAAUCAGG
This 735-nucleotide ribosomal RNA is filed under the name uncultured Fusobacterium sp. RNAcentral describes it as "bacterial SSU rRNA". It matches the Rfam family "Bacterial small subunit ribosomal RNA", at positions 28 to 776 of the family's 1533-position model. The record is from RNAcentral. Lineage: Bacteria; Fusobacteriati; Fusobacteriota; Fusobacteriia; Fusobacteriales; Fusobacteriaceae.